Molecule: ribosomal RNA, 494 nt
Filed under: Variovorax sp. CL4.58
Lineage: Bacteria; Pseudomonadati; Pseudomonadota; Betaproteobacteria; Burkholderiales; Comamonadaceae
Description: bacterial SSU rRNA
Rfam family: Bacterial small subunit ribosomal RNA
Source: RNAcentral
AUCCCUGGCUCAGAUUGAACGCUGGCGGCAUGCCUUACACAUGCAAGUCGAACGGCAGCACGGGAGCAAUCCUGGUGGCGAGUGGCGAACGGGUGAGUAAUACAUCGGAACGUGCCCAAUCGUGGGGGAUAACGCAGCGAAAGCUGUGCUAAUACCGCAUAAGAUCUACGGAUGAAAGCAGGGGAUCGCAAGACCUUGCGCGAAUGGAGCGGCCGAUGGCAGAUUAGGUAGUUGGUGAGGUAAAGGCUCACCAAGCCUUCGAUCUGUAGCUGGUCUGAGAGGACGACCAGCCACACUGGGACUGAGACACGGCCCAGACUCCUACGGGAGGCAGCAGUGGGGAAUUUUGGACAAUGGGCGCAAGCCUGAUCCAGCCAUGCCGCGUGCAGGAUGAAGGCCUUCGGGUUGUAAACUGCUUUUGUACGGAACGAAACGGUCCCUUCUAAUACAGGGGGCUAAUGACGGUACCGUAAGAAUAAGCACCGGCUAACUAC